Long non-coding RNA from Ictalurus furcatus (blue catfish), 6534 nucleotides. RefSeq lists it as uncharacterized. The transcript is spliced from 9 exons. The record is from RefSeq and is a predicted model, not a curated record. NCBI's taxonomy places the organism in Eukaryota, Metazoa, Chordata, Actinopteri, Siluriformes, Ictaluridae.
UUUUUUGAUGUUGAAAAAGCGUAUGAUAUGCUUUGGAAGGAUGGGCUUCUAAUUAAACUCGACAAAUUAGGAAUAAAUGGUAAGAUAUAUAAUUGGGUAUUAGACUUCCUGAACGGAAGAGCAAUAGAAGUUAGAGUAGGUGCAGAGUACUCAAAUAGGUAUGCAGUGGAAAAUGGUACCCCACAAGGCAGUGUAUGUAGCCCAAUACUGUUUAAUAUUAUGAUUAAUUACAUAUUUGAUCAGGUCAGAGGAAAUAUAGAAAAGUCACUUUAUGCGGAUGAUGGGGCACUCUGGGUUAGGGGUCGGAAUAUAGAUUAUUUAAGAAAGAAAAUGCAACCUGCAAUAGGGAAAGUAGAACAGUGGGCAAAUGAAUGGGGAUUUAAAUGAUCAAUUUCAAAAUCACAAGGUAUAUGUUUCUCUAAACAUCAUAAAACAGUACCACUUAAAUUAUAUGGGCUAGAUCUUGAGCAGGUCAAGGCUGUGAGAUUUUUAGGAAUGCUUUUUGAUGAGAAGCUGACCUGGGGUCUGCAUAUUGAUAAAAUUAAAAACAAAUGUAAAAAGAUUAGUGAGAUUAGUAAAUAUUCUGAGAUGUCUGUCAGGGCGAGACUGGGGAGCAAGUAGGGCAUCGCUCAUAAAUAUAUAUCAGGCUCUUAUGAGGGCUGCCUUUGAUUAUGGCUGCCUAGCAUAUAUGUCGGCAUCACAAUCAAAUCUUAAAAAGCUUGAUGUGGAACAGGCGCAAGCACUUCGGAUAUGUACUAGGGAAUUUAAAUCAUCACCAGUGACUGCAUUACAGGUGGAGACAGGAGAGAUGCCGUUGUGUAUCAGGAGGGUUAAGAUCAUGCUGGCAUAUUGGGUAAAUCUACAAGGGCAUAGCAGGGGGCACCCCAGGAAAGCCAUCAAAACCAUUAUAAAGGGACUUACGCAUAAAAUAUGGCAGGAAUACUGGGACACAGCGGACACCGGACGACACCUAUAUACCAUACAAAAACAAGUAGGCAUGAGUGUGAGGCAGGGCAGAAACCCAAAGGAAGAGAUGAUAAUUACGCGUCUUAGAAUAGGUCAUGCUGGAUUAAAUCUAGCAUUAAACAGAAUAGGAAAACACCCCACUGGACUCUGCACACACUGCAAUACACAAGAGACAGUGAAACACAUUCUGUUAGACUGCAAAAGGUAUGAGGAGGAAAGAACUGAGCUAGAGAUGCAGACUGGAAAACAAAACAUGACACUAGAGACCGUGCUGGGGAAAACAUCUGGGGAAAUGCACCGCCCCCUAAUGAACUAUUUAAAAAGUACUGGUAUAAGUGAGAGAAUUUAGUAAUCUAUAGUACGAAUAACUAGUAUAUAGCUAUUUAUCUCUUUAUUUUCUUUUAUUUAUGCAGUAUUGUUUUGGUAUUAUUAUUAUAAGUUUUUGUUCCUAUUUAUUUUUAUUAUUUUUAUUUAUUUAUUUAUUUAUUUAUUUAUUUAAUUUAUUUUAUUUUUUCCUGCCAAUCUACUGCCCACACACCAGUCCAGUAGGUGGUGGUAAUGCACCUUUAGUGGCUUGCCAACCGCCAUAAUUUUUUUUUUUUUAAAUAAAAUAAAAUAAAAUAAAAUAAUGAGGACUUGUAAGGAAUGAUACACAGGAGCGGAGCGGGAAAAGAAAACGGAGUUUUGACGCCGAGGUGAUGAUGUUUGUAGACUAAAGUACAGAUGCAGUAGUGGCACAAAUAUAAUUUUAUUCAGCUAAGAGUCGUGUACAACUCACAGUUUGGUAACUUUGUGAACUGUUGGUUUAAGUGAAGUGCAGCUAGGUUCUCUGCGUUUGUUGUUUUGCACUAGCUUGAAAAGGGCUAAGUAUAAACUGUAACCCGUGGACAUUAAGCUAAUGUCGUCGUGAGAGACGGACAGCUGUAACCGUCACCGCAGUUUUCACCGUGAAACUGAAGGGACAAGGACUGUGGAGAACUGUGCUAAGUAGCACGGUAACUACGCCUGUGUAAGGAGGGACUCUACCGCCGAACCUGCAUCGCUGAAUCGACUAUUACCUGUUGGACCCUCGCUACAGCGGAUUCAUUCCCAGCUCGUUUCCAAGUCAGCUAAUUCUUCUCGGUGAGCAGUGGUGUGAAGAAUCAGACGUGUGAAACUGAACAGCGGCCGAAUCAGACAGCAGAUCAACGUGAAGACGUCGGACUCUGGCGGAUUCUCUUCAUCGUACUCUUAACAAUUAACUUUCUCGUCAUUGCUGUAGUCGCAGAAAUCAUCUGUGGAGAUGAGAAGGUGUUUUUCUACACAUUUGAGGUGAAAAAAAACCUUGCGGUGUCGUGGAAAUCAGACAACACUCGCAGACUCGUCCUCUGAAGAAGUUAUUUGCUGUUUGCCCUUCUUCUUGUGAUAGAUAACGCAGAAAGAAGAGUCUUAGAACCGACGCCUAAGCCGGGAAACAGUGGCACCAUGAAGAGAGCAAGCGGUACCUCACUGUUUCUGCUCAUAUGUAUUCUAUUGUGCAGCCUCGCAGACUGAAGAGGUCAUGAAGCCCAAUGUGUGGAAAAAGCAGCUAUCCAAGCUUUUCUUCACUACAUUUAAAGUAGUACUUAACUAAAGGACAUCCCAAAAGUCUUCCAAAAUUUUUCAUAAUUAGUUUUUUAUAUAUAUUUAAAAAAAAAUUGGCAUAUAGAAAUCCUUCUCAUGGUUGACUAGCAAGCAUGCAAUUACAACACCAGCUGCGUCAACACAAGUGGCAGAGAUGACUCCUUGUGUGUUGACAAAGAAAGUAAAAUUUUGCUUUAAAAAAAGUGUUCGUUUGCCCUAUGUAUGGAGACUUUUGGGACACCCUGUAAUCAAUAAGAGGUCUAUAUACACACACACAAGCUAGCCAGGGUCAUAAUCUCGUUUCUUUUUCUUCGACAGGUAAAGCAUUAGACAAAAUUUCUGCAGCCAUCAUGCACAACUAACUGAUUUCCCAACAGCAGAAGUCCAUGACAUGAGGUGGACGUGGUAGUACUCAACCAGGAGUAAUAAGUGAAACCACAUAUUUUGGUUUUGUCGGUUUAAUUAGAGAGAGAAAAAAUAAAAAGACAGUGCUUUGCCUGAGAGAAGGACGUUGCACUAGAUUGGAAUCGGAUUCGUUGCAAACAUUUAUUUUAUAUUUAUAUUUCAAAUCAGUUGUUUACAUAAUGUAUUACAGUUUUAUAGAUUGGUAACAGUAGUGGACAGACUAGUAGCCUCAGGUGGGAAGGUUACUUGGUAGGGCUGCUGAGCUAGUGGUAACCAGCAUUCGACCAGCAAAACCAGCAAUUGACAUCUUGAACAACACGCUUCAGAGCAUACUAGCCAGCUAUAAUCUAUCCUCGUGAGCUAGCUACAUCCACACCAAGGAUGUAUCCCACUGCCUAGUUCAUUUUAAACACGGAACCACUUCUGUCUGUCCCUUAAAAGAUAGAAUAUCCUGGUGUAUCUGUUGCAUAAACCAGCAGUGACUACAAAGUAAUUGGCAUGCAUUUGCACUUUGGUCUGAUAUGGCCAGUUCCGCAGUCCAGAAUUAUUGGCACCCUUCAGAAAAAGUAUGUACAAUGUGAUAUUUUUGAAUUGCAUGAGGUUGCUUAGAUUCGUUCUUAGUAUUUUUCCAAACAGUGUUCAUUAGCAGUCCCUGUUGGUUUAGGAUUAGGAUUAUAUUGGGGUUUUUAGGGGUCCAAGCACUUAGUGUUGUAUUUGUUAGGAUGUUAUAUUUUCUUCUUAUUCUGAUUCCCUGCUGAAACCAAUUGUGCAGACCAAACCGUACAUCAUACCAACGUAGUACUCCGUGUCCGAGCCCAGGCAAGCAAGAUGGUCCCAAUCGGAUCCUAAUGGUGGCCCUAUAGCAGAAGCAUUGAAUCUCAUGAACUGUGACACUAUUAAUAAUAGUCCUACAUCCAAAAAGCAACCAAAGUAAUGCUAAUGAUCAAACGUUCCCCCCCACCCCCACGGAUUCCUUGGGGUUUCCCAACCAGAAAAGCCUCGAGAACAAUUUAGCCCUGCCCACUUAGAGGGUUUUUUUUUGUUGCUAAUUUGAACACAUUUUGUGAACUAGUGCUAGGACAUUUUUUGGCCUAUCAAAAUUAUAAUUGUUUAUCGCUAAAUAAAUUCACUGCUUUUGUGAAAUGUCCUCAGAAAUCAUCUGGGGAGUUGAGAUGUUUUUCUACACAUUUGAGGUGAAAAAAAACCUUGCGAUGUCGUGGAAAUUAGACGGCACUUGCAGACUCGUACUCUGAAGGUAAAAAAAGGUUUAUUACAGAAAGAUGGUUAAUACAGGGUAGAAUAAAGCAGGAUAUAAUAAUGAGAGCGCUCUGAAGCCCUUGUACUAAACCACUACUAUGUAUAUGAAAUGCAGAACAUGACAUAAUUCUGUGUCUCGAUGAGAAGCAGUUUGAGGCAGUUCAAACAGGCUUUGUUUUAGGAUCUUUUGAAAAUGUUUAGAGGAACCUUGAACAGAAUAACAUGUUUGUAUCUCUGUAAGCAGAUAAACAUUCUGUACUGAUCUGUGAUAUGACAUGGACUUCUUAGGCGUUAUCCUCUGAUGAACAUGAACAAAAUUAUUACAAAGUAAAAAUGAGUAAUUUCCCUCACAGCGGUCAGAGCGAGUUGAACUGCCACUUCCCCCUCAGUCCUGUAGCUAUAAACUUCAUGUCUGAAUCUUCCUCACUGACAAUUUACAGCUUGUGAACAGAGAUCAAGUUUCAUCAUGAAGAUCCUCCACAUUCACUUCUAUCUACUUGUGUUCUGUGGAGCUGCAGAAAGUUUCACAGGGAAGUCGGUAGAUUUGGGACAAAAUGUGACUCUAAAGUGUCAGGUGUCUAUAAGAGAUGUGUUCUGGUUCCUGAUGAAGCCGUCAGAACCUCCAGUGUUUAUAUUACGCUCUUACUCGAGUAUUGCCCUGGAGCCAGUAUACAGUAGCAUGACCUUCAGCAAGAGAUUCUCAGUGAAAUAUAACAGCAGUUUAUUUAUACACAAUAUCAGUACUAAUGAAUUAGGAGUGUAUUAUUGUAUUCGAACUGGUUCACCUCCCCACAUCAGCAGUGGAAUCAGACUUUACAUCCGGAAUCAUUCAGCUGAGAAUCAGACGUGUAAGAUUGAAGCGCCUCAGAAUCAGACCACUGAUGAAGAUAUAGAGAUCAGACUGUGGAGAAAUCUCUUCAUGAUAUCAGGAGUGAUGAACGGUGUUCUGCUCAUCGCAGUCACAGUCUCGAUCGUUACCUGCUGUGGAAAAACCACAUCUCCUAACUGAUGUGAAGCUUCAAGAAGUCAGUGGAUCACAGAGUUGGUUACCAAAAGUGCAUAAUGAUAGCAGCAACACUGUGGUGCAGUUUAUUCCGUUUCACCUUUAUUUAAUUUCUUUUUAUGGGGGAAUGAAUUUACAUUGGCCCCACUAGGUCUUUGAAAAAAGUGGCCAGUCCCUCAUGAUAUUUACCGCCCCCUGCUGGGCAUUUGGGUAACUUUCUCAAUUCCAUAAAUACAAUUUCUUAAGAGUUAAAUUUGUAUUAGACAUUUUAAUGCAGUCCUAGCAUAUCUUAAACAUUUCAUCUAAAACAUUGUAUAAAAAUAUUAUAAAAUAAUUUUAGACUAUGUUCUAGGUCUCUGAACAAACAUAUUUUCACACAAAUAUUACAUUAGUUUAGUAAUCACUUGUGGGUUGUUGUUGUUUUUAUUUACGUCAUUAUUUUUAUCAUUUAGAUAAAGGUUUUUUAUUGACUUUUAGUUUUAGUUUUUUUUUUUUAAAUAGAAUUUUCACUUUGUGAUACAACCUGGUCACCACUAGGGGAGCUUCUCUUUCCUCUCAUUCUCUCUGCAAAAUUUCAGACCUUUACUUAUUUACCUUUACUUAUUUAGGCUAGUAUUUAAACAGAUGUUGUGUUUCAAAUAUAAUUAUGUAAAUUAUUUAGUAUUUACUUACAUGUGAAUGUAAAUUGAUCAUAAUAUCACAUUGUCAAAAUUUACUACAAUUCAACCAUGAGCUCUUAAAAACUCAAACAUCGAUGCCUUCAAAACCAGUGUAAAUUGUGAUAAUUGUACAUAACCCAAGCUCAGGAUCGAACCGAGGCUGUCAUUAAAACUACAUGCUUGUCAAUUUCUACAGCAUUCAUAAAAAAUCACACCCUUGCUGUUUAUUUGCAUUCCACAAAGAUUUUCUGUUGUCUUUCAUCUACGUACACUUAUCAUUUUUCAUUCAGAGGAACAUUUUGACUAUUCACUUUACUCACUUUACGAAUGUACUUCCUAAAUUAAAUGUUUUCUGUGAUUCCUGAGUAAACAUGUCAAUAAAAUCAAUUACAAAUAAAAUGGCAGUGCUAAUGGUCUUGAAUGAUCUUUUGUGUGAAAAUUUACUUUAAUGGUGUGGGUGUGCAAAAAAACAAGAGUCAUGAGUAAACACACACACUCACUCACACACACACACACACACACACACACACACACACACACACAUUGUGGUCUGAGCAAGAUUCGCUCCUCCUUCCAUAUACCCCAGUGUCUGAAGCUCAACUGAAGUGUUUCCUGACUGAAGCAGCGCAGCCUCAGAGUGUU